GUGGGGAAUAUUGCACAAUGGGCGCAAGCCUGAUGCAGCCAUGCCGCGUGUAUGAAGAAGGCCUUCGGGUUGUAAAGUACUUUCAGCGGGGAGGAAGGCGAUAAGGUUAAUAACCUUGUCGAUUGACGUUACCCGCAGAAGAAGCACCGGCUAACUCCGUGCCAGCAGCCGCGGUAAUACGGAGGGUGCAAGCGUUAAUCGGAAUUACUGGGCGUAAAGCGCACGCAGGCGGUCUGUCAAGUCGGAUGUGAAAUCCCCGGGCUCAACCUGGGAACUGCAUUCGAAACUGGCAGGCUAGAGUCUUGUAGAGGGGGGUAGAAUUCCAGGUGUAGCGGUGAAAUGCGUAGAGAUCUGGAGGAAUACCGGUGGCGAAGGCGGCCCCCUGGACAAAGACUGACGCUCAGGUGCGAAAGCGUGGGGAGCAAACAGGAUUAGAAACCCUAGUAGUCC
This 450-nucleotide ribosomal RNA is filed under the name uncultured bacterium. RNAcentral describes it as "partial 16S ribosomal RNA". It matches the Rfam family "Bacterial small subunit ribosomal RNA", at positions 354 to 796 of the family's 1533-position model. RNAcentral also lists the same sequence under 1 other name. The record is from RNAcentral.